This 428-nucleotide ribosomal RNA is filed under the name uncultured Acidobacterium sp. RNAcentral's name for it is "bacterial SSU rRNA". It matches the Rfam family "Bacterial small subunit ribosomal RNA", at positions 958 to 1385 of the family's 1533-position model. The record is from RNAcentral. Lineage: Bacteria; Pseudomonadati; Acidobacteriota; Terriglobia; Terriglobales; Acidobacteriaceae.
AACGCGAAGAACCUUACCUGGGCUCGAACGGCUUAAGACCAUCCUUGGAAACAGGGACUUCCCGCAAGGGACUUGAGUCGAGGUGCUGCAUGGCUGUCGUCAGCUCGUGUCGUGAGAUGUUGGGUUAAGUCCCGCAACGAGCGCAACCCUUGUCCUGUGUUGCCACUCCGUAAGGAAGCACUCGCAGGAGACCGCCAGGGAUAACCUGGAGGAAGGUGGGGAUGAUGUCAAGUCAUCAUGGCCUUUAUGUCCAGGGCUACACACGUGCUACAAUGGACGGUACAAAGCGCUGCAAACCCGCGAGGGGGAGCUAAUCGCAAAAAGCCGUUCUCAGUUCGGAUCGCAGGCUGCAACUCGCCUGCGUGAAGCUGGAAUCGCUAGUAAUGGCGUAUCAGAACGAUGCCGUGAAUACGUUCCCGGGCCUUGUA